GUCCGGGUGGCGGAAUUGGUAGACGCGCUAGCUUGAGGUGCUAGUGCCCGGUUACGGGCAUGGGGGUUCAAGUCCCCCCUCGGACACCA
RNAcentral lists this transfer RNA (89 nucleotides) under Aeromicrobium terrae. RNAcentral describes it as "Aeromicrobium sp. CC-CFT486 tRNA-Leu". It matches the Rfam family "tRNA". From Rfam's summary of the family: Transfer RNA (tRNA) molecules are approximately 80 nucleotides in length. Their secondary structure includes four short double-helical elements and three loops (D, anti-codon, and T loops). Lineage: Bacteria; Bacillati; Actinomycetota; Actinomycetes; Propionibacteriales; Nocardioidaceae. The record is from RNAcentral.